UCCGUCUUAUCGACGGCAGUCUCUUUAGAGUUCCCACCUUUACGUGCUGGCAACUAAAGAUAAGGGUUGCGCUCGUUGCGGGACUUAACCCAACAUCUCACGACACGAGCUGACGACAACCAUGCACCACCUGUAAUACUGUCUCCGAAGAGAAAGGUAUAUCUCUAUACCGGUCACUAUUAUGUCAAGUCCUGGUAAGGUUCUUCGCGUUGCUUCGAAUUAAACCACAUGCUCCGCUGCUUGUGCGGGUCCCCGUCAAUUCCUUUGAGUUUCAUACUUGCGUACGUACUCCCCAGGCGGAGUGCUUAUUGUGUUAACUGCGGCACCGAGGUCACCCCCGACACCUAGCACUCAUCGUUUACAGCGUGGACUAC
This 374-nucleotide unclassified non-coding RNA is filed under the name uncultured Eubacteriales bacterium. RNAcentral describes it as "contains 16S-23S intergenic spacer region". The record is from RNAcentral. Lineage: Bacteria; Bacillati; Bacillota; Clostridia; Eubacteriales.